CCGUACAGUGACUGAACUGAAGACGUCCUGAUGCAUCCUGAUCGGAUCGCUCUCCAUUCAGAAUCCAUGGGGAUAAAACUGAUCAGUUCUUUCCAGUAUUGAGCCCCUAGGACCGAACUCAGUGCCAGAAAAGAAAACACCAGUGUGAAAGUA
Molecule: long non-coding RNA, 153 nt
Organism: Bufo bufo (common toad)
Lineage: Eukaryota; Metazoa; Chordata; Amphibia; Anura; Bufonidae
Exons: 3
Source: RefSeq, a predicted model, not a curated record